GAUGAACGCUGGCGGCGUGCCUAAUACAUGCAAGUCGAGCGAACAGACGAGGAGCUUGCUCCUCUGACGUUAGCGGCGGACGGGUGAGUAACACGUGGAUAACCUACCUAUAAGACUGGGAUAACUUCGGGAAACCGGAGCUAAUACCGGAUAACAUGUUGAACCGCAUGGUUCAACAGUGAAAGACGGUCUUGCUGUCACUUAUAGAUGGAUCCGCGCCGCAUUAGCUAGUUGGUAAGGUAACGGCUUACCAAGGCAACGAUGCGUAGCCGACCUGAGAGGGUGAUCGGCCACACUGGAACUGAGACACGGUCCAGACUCGUACGGGAGGCAGCAGGAGGGAAUCUACCGCAAUGGGCGAAAGCCUGACGGAGCAACGAAGCGUGAGUGAGGAAGGUCUUCGGAUCGUAAAACUCUGUUAGUAGGGAAGAACAAAUGUGUAAGUAACUAUGCACGUCUUGACGGUACCUAAUCAGAAAGCCACGGCUAAGUACGUG
RNAcentral lists this ribosomal RNA (497 nucleotides) under uncultured bacterium. Its description in RNAcentral is "partial 16S ribosomal RNA". It matches the Rfam family "Bacterial small subunit ribosomal RNA", at positions 28 to 507 of the family's 1533-position model. The record is from RNAcentral.